This 888-nucleotide long non-coding RNA is filed under the name Brassica rapa (field mustard). RNAcentral's name for it is "long non-coding RNA (BRAP_LNC002390)". Lineage: Eukaryota; Viridiplantae; Streptophyta; Magnoliopsida; Brassicales; Brassicaceae. The record is from RNAcentral.
UGUGUCCCAUACAAUCGAUUUUAUUUGCACCAGAAAAGUAACAUGGAUUCAUUCUGAGAAUGGGUGGUGUUACACUGCUUGCUCGAAGUGCUCCAAGAAGCAGUGUGGCGAAUCUUCAUUCAAGUCCGUAUGAUGUGAGGGUCCAAAUGCUGAGAAUACAAUCGAUUAUAUAUUGUUUUAAAAAAAAGAAAAAAAUUUUGCCCUCCCGCAACCGCCCGCAACCGCAGACGCUAACUGGAGCCAGCUUUUGAAUUUAUGAGAUUCGGAGCAGUUUGAAGCGGUUUAGAGCGAUUUGAGUUAUUGUUGCAAACCGCCGACAACCGCUACCAACCGCAAAAGAUGCGUUUGUGGGUGGUAGCGGGAAAACCAGUCACCCCCUUAGACGGGGGCCUAUCAUCGCAGCUCAAAAUUUGUGAUUUCGGAUACUCGAAGGUGUUAUUACACAUUUAAUUCAUAUACUAGAUUUUGACCCGCGUUUUGAAAGCGCGGGUUUUUUUGGGUUAUAAAUAUGAAUUACUUUAGAAAUUUUCAUACAAAAAUGGAGAAUUUUUAUGUUUACCACUUUUUUGGUACCACUAUUCAUGUUUACCAUCACUAAAGAGACAUUUUCAAAAAUACAUUAUUUAUUAAGUGGCAAAAGACUUUUAUACUCUUGUUUUAUAUAUAUGUAUAAUAAAUAAAUAAAAAAGAAAAUAAAAAUAAUUUUUAUUCUUUUCAAUUAUACUUUUUCAAUUUUGAAGUUCUUAUAAAAAAAAUAUGAAUUUUUUUCGAAAUUUUUUUUUCGCUAUUUUGUUUUUUUUUCUUUUUGAGAAUCAAAAAUUAUUUUUGAAACUUUUUGUAAAAUUUUUUAAGUAUUUAUUAGAAUCCUAAAUUUCACAUUUCAAAAAC